This 237-nucleotide long non-coding RNA is filed under the name Homo sapiens (human). RNAcentral's name for it is "HSALNT0119838". The record is from RNAcentral. Lineage: Eukaryota; Metazoa; Chordata; Mammalia; Primates; Hominidae.
AGUCAGGGAGGCAGCGUUUGUCUCAUCGUUCUUCUUGUAGUUCACUUCCUUUGGGACAGGAAGUCUUCCCUUAGGAAGCCUUCCCUCCAUGUCCUUGUUUGGAAAUGGUUCUUGACUGACCCAGAGAAAGAGUUCUGGGUAAUAAACCAUUUUGAGAAUCUUAGUCUUGGCUUCUAUUCUCCCUCUCUUCAGUCCAGGGAGACCAACAGACAAAAGCCCCGCUCCCUGUUCACUCUC